UGGUAAUGCCGGAUGCUCCAGUUGAUCGCAUGGUCUUCUGGGAAAGCUUUCGCGGUAUGGGAUGGGGUCGCGUCCUAUCAGCUUGACGGCGGGGUAACGGCCCACCGUGGCUUCGACGGGUAGCCGGCCUGAGAGGGCGACCGGCCACAUUGGGACUGAGAUACGGCCCAGACUCCUACGGGAGGCAGCAGUGGGGAAUAUUGCACAAUGGGCGCAAGCCUGAUGCAGCGACGCCGCGUGAGGGAUGGAGGCCUUCGGGUUGUAAACCUCUUUUAUCGGGGAGCAAGCGAGAGUGAGUUUACCCGUUGAAUAAGCACCGGCUAACUACGUGCCAGCAGCCGCGGUAAUACGUAGGGUGCAAGCGUUAUCCGGAAUUAUUGGGCGUAAAGGGCUCGUAGGCGGUUCGUCGCGUCCGGUGUGAAAGUCCAUCGCUUAACGGUGGAUCCGCGCCGGGUACGGGCGGGCUUGAGUGCGGUAGGGGAGACUGGAAUUCCCGGUGUAACGGUGGAAUGUGUAGAUAUCGGGAAGAACACC
RNAcentral lists this ribosomal RNA (534 nucleotides) under Bifidobacterium longum subsp. infantis. RNAcentral describes it as "bacterial SSU rRNA". It matches the Rfam family "Bacterial small subunit ribosomal RNA", at positions 161 to 710 of the family's 1533-position model. Lineage: Bacteria; Bacillati; Actinomycetota; Actinomycetes; Bifidobacteriales; Bifidobacteriaceae. The record is from RNAcentral.